UGUUUCAAUAGUCUGAUAACCCAAGUGAGUA
This 31-nucleotide non-coding RNA is filed under the name Mus musculus (house mouse). RNAcentral also lists the same sequence under 1 other name. The record is from RNAcentral. Lineage: Eukaryota; Metazoa; Chordata; Mammalia; Rodentia; Muridae.